CCUGUAGCUUAAACCAACAAAGCAUAACACUGAAGAUGUUAAGAUGGUUCUUUAAACCCACGGACA
This 66-nucleotide transfer RNA is filed under the name Canirallus oculeus (Grey-throated rail). Its description in RNAcentral is "partial tRNA-Phe". The record is from RNAcentral. Lineage: Eukaryota; Metazoa; Chordata; Aves; Gruiformes; Rallidae.